AAUGAACGUUGGCGGCGUGGAUUAGGCAUGCAAGUCGAGCGAGAACCGUAGCAAUACGGGGACAGCGGCGUAAGGGAGAGUAAUACGUAGAUUACCUGCCCUCGGGACUGGGAUAGCCGCGGGAAACUGCGGGUAAUACCAGAUGACGUCUUCGGACCAAAGGUGUGAUUCCGCCCGAGGAGGGGUCUGCGUCCUAUUAGCUAGUUGGUGGGGUAAUGGCCUACCAAGGCAAUGAUGGGUACGGGUGUGAGAGCAUGCCCCCGCUCACUGGGACUGAGACACUGCCCAGACACCUACGGGAGGCUG
RNAcentral lists this ribosomal RNA (306 nucleotides) under uncultured Planctomycetota bacterium. RNAcentral's name for it is "bacterial SSU rRNA". It matches the Rfam family "Bacterial small subunit ribosomal RNA", at positions 29 to 351 of the family's 1533-position model. Lineage: Bacteria; Pseudomonadati; Planctomycetota. The record is from RNAcentral.